Molecule: ribosomal RNA, 253 nt
Filed under: uncultured bacterium
Lineage: Bacteria
Description: partial 16S ribosomal RNA
Rfam family: Bacterial small subunit ribosomal RNA
Source: RNAcentral
GACGGAGGAUGCAAGCGUUAUCCGGAAUUAUUGGGCGUAAAGGGUGCGUAGGUGGUCAGACAAGUCCCAUGUCAAAGCAUGGUGCUUAACGCCAUAAAGGCGUGGGAAACUGUGUGACUAGAGUACAGCAGGGGCAGGAGGAAUUCCCGGUGUAGCGGUGAAAUGCGUAGAGAUCGAGAAGAACACCAGUGGCGCAAGCGUUCUGCUGGGCUGUAACUGACACUGAGGCACGAAAGAUAGGGGAGCGAAAGGG